This 229-nucleotide ribosomal RNA is filed under the name uncultured bacterium. RNAcentral describes it as "partial 16S ribosomal RNA". It matches the Rfam family "Bacterial small subunit ribosomal RNA", at positions 568 to 796 of the family's 1533-position model. The record is from RNAcentral.
UGUGCAGGCGGACCUAUUAGUCAGUGGUGAAAUCCCGGGGCUCAACUCCGGAACUGCCAUUGAUACUGUAGGUCUUGAGUUUGGUUGAAGUGGGCGGAAUGUAGCAUGUAGCGGUGAAAUGCAUAGAUAUGCUACAGAACACCGAUCGCGAAGGCAGCUCACUAAACCAAAACUGACGCUCAGGCACGAAAGCGUGGGUAGCGAACAGGAUUAGAUACCCUGGUAGUCC